UUGUAAUUCACAAGGUAGUUCACUUUGCGAUGAAGCUCUAUGAGGAGUCUGUGUUCAUAAUACCUCAACCCUUGUAUCUCUUGCUUCAAGUCUCUAAUCUCUUGUUCGAUAAUCUUGAGUCUCUGCAAAACUUGUUCCACCCCUUUUGCAAUUCCAGAAAAACUUGGAUCAACUGUGUCCAGUUCAUUACCUGGCUGAUCUGUACCAUCUGGAUUUCUUUCUGGUGGGACUUCCAAUUCUGCAGCAAGGUCAUACAAGUCAUUAUAUCUUCUGUGCAAUGCUUCCCGG
This 288-nucleotide unclassified non-coding RNA is filed under the name Hevea brasiliensis (rubber tree). Lineage: Eukaryota; Viridiplantae; Streptophyta; Magnoliopsida; Malpighiales; Euphorbiaceae. The record is from RNAcentral.